CCUACGGGUGGCAGCAGUAGGGAAUAUUGCUCAAUGGGGGAAACCCUGAAGCAGCAACGCCGCGUGAAGGAAGAAGGUUUUCGGAUUGUAAACUCCUUUUGUUAGGGAAGAAAAUGACGGUAUCUAACGAAUAAGCACCGGCUAACUCCGUGCCAGCAGCCGCGGUAAUACGGAGGGGGCAAGCGUUAUUCGGAUUCACUGGGUGUAAAGAGCGCGUAGGCGGGUUAGCAAGUCAGAUGUGAAAUCCUAUGGCUUAACCAUAGAACUGCAUUUGAAACUGUUAUUCUAGAGUUUGGGAGAGGUAGGUGGAAUUCUUGGUGUAGCGGUGAAAUGCGUAGAUAUCAAGAGGAAUACUGAUUGCGAAGGCGACCUACUGGAACAUAACUGACGCUGAUGCGCGAAAGCGUGGGGAGCAAACAGGAUUAGAUACCCGUGUAGUC
Molecule: ribosomal RNA, 440 nt
Filed under: uncultured bacterium
Lineage: Bacteria
Description: partial 16S ribosomal RNA
Rfam family: Bacterial small subunit ribosomal RNA
Source: RNAcentral